CCACGAGAUUGUAACUAAUUUUUGAAAACUAGUGAGGAGUAGGAAUUUUAGGGUAGCUUGAGGUAGAAGUAGGCCCUAUUCUUAUCAAAACAAGACACACUUGUUGUACAAACGUUUUUUGAUGAAUAAAAUUUAGCAUUUCAUUAAAAAAAAAUGGACGGUGGUUUUUAGUGGUGGAAGAGACGAGAGAAGAGUAAUAAAGAAAUUAAGCACGGUGGUGGAUGGAGUAUAAGUUACGGUGGUUUAUGGUUUUCAAAAAAAAUAGAAGGACAAUAAAGAUUUAACAUGGUGGAGAGUGAAGAUAAUGACACGACGGAUGGUUCGUGACAAGAAAAGAAAUAGGAGGAAAAUGAUAUUCUUAAUUAAGAAGAAAACAGGGUAUUUUGAAGAGCUUAAACCUUUGUAAAAAGAAUAUCUGGAUGGGAGCGAACUAUUUUUGUUAGAAUUAUUAAUUUUAUGGAAUAUCAAACUAAAAU
This 476-nucleotide long non-coding RNA is filed under the name Brassica napus (rape). Its description in RNAcentral is "long non-coding RNA (BNAP_LNC007066)". Lineage: Eukaryota; Viridiplantae; Streptophyta; Magnoliopsida; Brassicales; Brassicaceae. The record is from RNAcentral.